UUUCCGUAGGUGAACCUGCGGAAGGAUCAUUCAUAAUAAAGUGUUUUAUGGCACUUUUUAAAAAUCCCUAUCCACCUUGUGUGCAAUGUUAGAUCUCGUCAAUCUUGGCGAGAUUUUUAUACAUCAACUCAUUCUUUAACUAAUUUGUCUGAAAAAUAUUAUGAAUACUUAAUUCAAAAUACAACUUUCAACAACGGAUCUCUUGGCUCUC
This 211-nucleotide unclassified non-coding RNA is filed under the name plant metagenome. Its description in RNAcentral is "partial contains small subunit ribosomal RNA, internal transcribed spacer 1, and 5.8S ribosomal RNA". The record is from RNAcentral.